GCACAUGUGUAGCCAACUGCAUGCUAAUGAUAUUGUGGGCAACUGUAAGCAUGUAUUGCAAUGGACUUGCACUUGCCCUGGGCAGCAUGAUUUGUUUUUCAAGCAUGUGUGCUGUAGUGUGUGAUGUGUUUUGUAAACUGUUUGCAUUUCUCUAGUUGCUGCAACAAUUAUGUUUUGCAAGGAAUGUCUUAGCUCAAUAAAUGAUGAAGAAUGCAGCAACAUGCAAUAUGCAUUGCGAAUUGCAGAAUUCCGUGAGCUAACAGAUGUUUGAAUGUUACUUGUACCUUUGGGAUAUUCUUGAAGGUUUGCUUGGUUUAAUGCAAAGUAGCUUUCAUAUACAGUUAAUGCUGAUUAGCAUUGUUGUGAACAAUAAAGGUCAAUGUGUUGCAUUGAACCUGGAUGUCAUACAGUUGUUUACAACCUAAACAUGGUUUCGUGGGGCAGACCUGUUUCGUCAUUUGAUGGUUGAUAUUUGUAAAUGUGCACAACUGGGACAAGCUGAAGACUUGCAUAUGCUAAGCGUGAAGUGAAGCACAUAAACCUGCUGAAUUUAAGCAUAUAAGUAAGUGGUGGAAAUUAAACCAACUGGGAUCUCUUCAGUAAUUGCGCAUGAACCAGGAUAUGCUUAGCUUGACAAAUGGAGCUGCUGGCUCUGAAUUGUAUUGUGGGAAUGUAUUACCAACAGAGGUGCAGGUGUCAGCCAUUUGAAAGAAAGCAUCAAUGAGGGUGAGAGUCCUGUUUGUCAUGUGCAGCCUUCUGUGCACGGUGUAUAUUUGCUGAGUCACACUCCUUGGCAUUGGAAUGCAAAGUGGGUGGUAAGUUUCAUGCAAAGGUAAAUAUGCAAUUGAGACUGAUAGCGCACAAGUACCAUGAGGGACAUAUGAAAAGGACUUUGAAAAGAGAAUUAAAUGAGUUUGUAUUUGCUAAACACAAAGUAAACAGACUUGAUUUCCUCAGUGAGAUUGUAGUGCUUGCUUAACAAUGGGUUUUGGCUGCAAGUGCAAUAAUUCUUGCUUUGUGUGCCAGUUUUUAUGUGGACAUUUGAUUACCUUUGCACAUGAAUGGUAAUUUUCCUGCGGGGUGUGGAUUGCAUAUGCAUGUAAUGAUUUGCAUGUUUGUUAAAUGUGUCUGGUGUAUUUGUUUGUGUCCUUGUCCUUGAGGUUGCUUUCUCCCUUGGGCUUACAUGCCCUGGCACACACAUUCUGGCAAAAUGCUUCUGCUUGACCCGUCUUGAAACACGGACCAAGGAGUCUAACAGAUGUGCAAGUUUGAAGGUGGUAUACCUGUGUGUGUAAUGAAAGUAUUGGCUGGGAUAUUUGCACCAGCAGCCGACUAAUUAGCAGACAGAGGUUUGAGUUGGAGCAUAUCUAUUAGGACC
Molecule: ribosomal RNA, 1378 nt
Filed under: Alexandrium tamarense species complex group IV
Lineage: Eukaryota; Dinophyceae; Gonyaulacales; Pyrocystaceae
Description: eukaryotic LSU rRNA
Rfam family: Eukaryotic large subunit ribosomal RNA (bases 518-1378)
Source: RNAcentral